GGUCCCGUAGCUCAACAGGACAGAGCACCUGCCUUCUAAGCAGGGGGUUGGAGGUUCGAGCCCUCCCGGGAUCGCCA
This 77-nucleotide transfer RNA is filed under the name Rhodomicrobium vannielii ATCC 17100. Its description in RNAcentral is "tRNA-Arg (TCT) (tRNA-Arg-TCT-1-1)". It matches the Rfam family "tRNA". Rfam says of the family: Transfer RNA (tRNA) molecules are approximately 80 nucleotides in length. Lineage: Bacteria; Pseudomonadati; Pseudomonadota; Alphaproteobacteria; Hyphomicrobiales; Hyphomicrobiaceae. The record is from RNAcentral. RNAcentral also lists the same sequence under 2 other names.